This 468-nucleotide ribosomal RNA is filed under the name uncultured bacterium. Its description in RNAcentral is "partial 16S ribosomal RNA". It matches the Rfam family "Bacterial small subunit ribosomal RNA", at positions 28 to 507 of the family's 1533-position model. The record is from RNAcentral.
GACGAACGCUGGCGGCGUGCUUAACACAUGCAAGUCGAACGGAAAGGCCCUGCUUUUGUGGGGUGCUCGAGUGGCGAACGGGUGAGUAACACGUGAGUAACCUGCCCUAGACUUUGGGAUAACUUCAGGAAACUGGGGCUAAUACCGGAUAGGAGCCCCUGCUGCAUGGUGGGGGUUGGAAAGUUUGGGCGGUUGGGGAUGGACUCGCGGCUUAUCAGCUUGUUGGUGGGGGAGUGGCUUACCAAGGCUUUGACGGGUAGCCGGCCUGAGAGGGUGACCGGCCACAUUGGGACUGCGAUACGGCCCAGUCUCCUACGGUAGGCAGCAGUGGGGAAUAUUGCACAAUGGGCGGAAGCCUGAUGCAGCAACGCCGCGUGCGGGAUGACGGCCUUCGGGUUGUAAACCGCUUUCGCCUGUGACGAAGCGUGAGUGACGGUAAUGGGUAAAGAAGCACCGGCUAACUACGUG